This 253-nucleotide ribosomal RNA is filed under the name uncultured bacterium. RNAcentral's name for it is "partial 16S ribosomal RNA". It matches the Rfam family "Bacterial small subunit ribosomal RNA", at positions 524 to 776 of the family's 1533-position model. The record is from RNAcentral.
UACGUAGGGUGCAAGCGUUAUUCGGAAUUACUGGGCGUAAAGGAUGCGUAGGCGGACAUUUAAGUCAGAUGUGAAAUACCCGAGCUUAACUUGGGUGCUGCAUUUGAAACUGGGUGUCUAGAGUGCAGGAGAGGUAAGUGGAAUUCCUAGUGUAGCGGUGAAAUGCGUAGAGAUUAGGAAGAACACCAGUGGCGAAGGCGACUUACUGGACUGUAACUGACGCUGAGGCAUGAAAGCGUGGGGAGCAAACAGG